RNAcentral lists this long non-coding RNA (2881 nucleotides) under Oncorhynchus kisutch (coho salmon). RNAcentral's name for it is "lncRNA (ENSOKIG00005002142.1)". The record is from RNAcentral. Lineage: Eukaryota; Metazoa; Chordata; Actinopteri; Salmoniformes; Salmonidae.
CAGCUGCAGAAAAGGGCCAGGGCCUUUCUUGUCUGUCCUCUGUGAUUCUGCAGAGUGUUGGUCUGAGAGACGUGGACCUGAGGAGAGACCGCUCAGAGGCUGCUUUCAAGUUGUCUGAGGGGAGAGGAGGAGGAGGAUGGUCAAGAGAGGAGACAGAGCAGACUAAAGCUCUGCUGUUUGAUAGGAUGAUCAAGCUGGGCCUGCCGCCCAAUCAGGACAUUGACCUGAGGAAACGACCUUCUGGGGGCCUGCAGGUCAAGGCUGACUUCUUGGAGACAGCAGGGAGAACGAACAGUCUGGAGGGCUUCAGGCCCAGUUCGGAUGGUGAAAUGCCCAGAAGAUCACAGUCCCAAUAUCAGGGGGAAGAACAGAUGCCAUGGGUCCUCAUCCCCAUCACAGGGCUGAAGUCAAACAAGUACUGCCUGAGCCAGAAGGACAAUCUUCAGGACCCACGCUUUGUUCCCCAGAUCCCCAUGGCAAACAGAAGCUAACCCCCCCUGUGUCCCGGAACGACGGGAAAGAAGCAUCAACUCUACGCUAGAGGAGCUCCCACAGCAUAGCCUCAGUACUUCCCUAGAGGUGUCAGAAGAGCCCAGCCCCUACCCCAGUCCCUGCCCAAGCCCCUGGUCUUGCUCCAGUCCCAUGGAGGAUGAGCAGCAAUUAGCUGAAACCCCCUGUGACCCCACAGAAAUAAGCGGCAACCAUAAGACGAGCACAGACAAGAAGACGAGCACAAACCAGAGCUUCUUUCAAAUCCCUGGUGCUCCAGCGAGCACCAGGCUACUAGACAAGUGCCGCAGCCCCUCACCUGAGCCAAAGCCAAAUGGAGAACCAACCCGUACUAUCCCUAACCCUGUGGAGGCUGGGCAGGAACAGGUUGAAGGCAGCACAGGAAAAGUUAUAUCUGGCGUGGUUGCUGAAGAUCCAACCACAAUGGAUGUUGGACAAGAAGAGGGGGAGGAGGUAGGGGAGGAAGAAAUAGAGUUGGAGGAGGAUAAUGUGAUUGAAGUGGUAGAUGAAGAGGUGGAGACGGUUAUAAAGCAGACAGAAGUGUCACCACCCUCUCUUGACCUCAGUUCUCCUGAGCAGAUUCCCGUCCAAAAUCCUCCCCCCGUCCAGAACACUCCUCCCGUCCAGAGGCCCAUGCUGAGCAGAGUGAACUGUGUCCUGGACCAGCAGUUCAGCGACUUCUCUACAGAGAUGCAGAUACUCCUGCUCAGAGAGAGUGUCCACUACAACUCCCCACUGAUCCCUAGCCAGAGUCCUCCGGGCCAUCCCCCCAUCCUGCCCUUCUCUGAGUAUGUCUCCUUCUACAACUCCUCCCCGCCUAUGCAGGACUACGUCAGCUCCCUGAGAGACCGCAUGGGCACCGUCAUAGACACACAGGAGCAAUGGAUUCCUAGCACGGUGGCCACUGACUCUCCCCUGGUCUUUUCUAACAAUAACCACCACCAUGCUAGCCACGUUCAUAGAACUACAUACAACUGGUACCCUUCUUCUCGUGGCCCUGUUUCUCACUCUGUCCCCAGCCCUCACCCUCCGUCCCUGUCUGCCCCUGGUCGUGCUAGUUCAGACUCCUACAGUUCUCUACCUGUGUCUCAUUCUGUCCCCAACUGCCACUCUCCUGCCUCUCCUUCUGGCCCCGGCCUUAACCUUGCUAGUUCAAACACUUACAGUUCUUUAUCAGUUUAUCAGUUUCCCUCAGCUGUGUCUCAGUUUAAUAGUAAUAAUAACAAUCAUGUUAUUAUUCGCUCUUCAUCCUUCCCCGGUCCUGGCACUGCCUCUCCUUUUACCCCUCCCCUCUACAACAACCCAGCCCAGACAGAGCUGCCUCUAUCCCAGCUGCACUCUAGUCUAGCGCCCCUCCCCAUCCAACCACUGGCACUGGGCAACCAGUGGAUAACAAGAGCGCAAACAACAACAGAGAACCCGGACUCAGACUGCCGAGAGCAACUGGGAACGUGCAAGCCAAGUGCUAUGUCAACCACGACAAAGAACACUGACUUAGAUGCUCGAGGGCUACGGGGAAAGUGUAAGGCACAAACGAGUGCAAAGUUUCAAUCAAAAGACAAUGUCAGAAUUGUUGAUCCUCCGAUUUCAGAAGCCACCAUGGUGGCUCCACAUCAUCUCACUCAGAUGAUUGAGAGUUCUUCAGGGGUGGGAGGGCCUUUCCCAAGCUCAAGGCCGGAUCCACCUGCACCCAUCAGUAGUCUGAUUAGCCAGCUGAAACCUGAGCUGUUCAGUAACCUGGUGAAGAUUAUAAAAGAUGUCCAGAAGAACUCUGUCCAGUUCUACAUCCACCAUAUUAAGGAGUACAUCCAGAGAUUGGGGAACAUAGAACACAGUCCUGAGAGUUUCUUGGAAAGAGAGAACUGUUUGGAAAAGUAUGGUUCUCAUGCAGAACAAGGAAAUCGCAGCUCACGUUCGUAAGGUACUUGACAAAAAUAUCAGUCAUUCCACGAAAUGAGUUCUUUUUGUGUCCCUUUGAUAUUUUAAGUAGAAAUUGUGCACCGAUAUUGGAUUUUAAAAGCCUUUUAAAUUAUGAAGUGCCCUUAAUUCAAUACAUUUUUGAAUGAAAAGACUUCUACUUUGAAGAAUCUCAAAUAUAAAAUAUUUUGAUUUGUUUAACACAUGAUUCCAUGUGUUAUUUCAUAGUUUUGAUGUCUUCACUAUUAUUCUACAAUGUAGAAAUUUCCCUCAUUAAAAUACAAAUCAAUUUAUAACAUUUGACAUGUGUUUUUCUGGAUUUUUUUGUUGUUAUUCUGUCUCUCACUGCUCAAAUAAACCUACCAUUAAAAUUAUAGACUGAUCAUUUCUUUGUCAGUGGGCAAACGUACAAACUCAGCAGGGGAUCAAAUACCUUUCCCCCUCACCGUAUAUA